CAAUGAUGCUGGCUGUUGCCCCGCUUUGGUGGGGAGGAAAGUCCGGACACUAUAGAGCAAAAUUGUCCCGAUGUAACAUCGGGGUUGAGGAAACUCAAGGAAAGUGCCACAGAAACUAAACCUAUCCUGAGCUAGUCGAAGGAAAAGGAUGAAAAGGGUAAACCCCAAUUAGUGCAAACCAAGUGGAUCUUUUGAAAACAUUUAACGGCUCGUUAGUUAUAUAAAGAUCUUGGCGCAUUAGAUAAAUAACAGUUAAAACAGAAUUCGGCUUAUUAGCAUCUUAAUAAA
RNAcentral lists this RNase P RNA (288 nucleotides) under Candidatus Berkelbacteria bacterium CG_4_10_14_0_2_um_filter_35_9_33_12. RNAcentral describes it as "RNase P RNA component class A". It matches the Rfam family "Bacterial RNase P class A". From Rfam's summary of the family: Ribonuclease P (RNase P) is a ubiquitous endoribonuclease, found in archaea, bacteria and eukarya as well as chloroplasts and mitochondria. Its best characterised activity is the generation of mature 5'-ends of tRNAs by cleaving the 5'-leader elements of precursor-tRNAs. The record is from RNAcentral. RNAcentral also lists the same sequence under 4 other names. Lineage: Bacteria; Candidatus Berkelbacteria.